Small nucleolar RNA from Callithrix jacchus (white-tufted-ear marmoset), 85 nucleotides. Its record names the gene SNORD115. It matches the Rfam family "Small nucleolar RNA SNORD115". From Rfam's summary of the family: HBII-52 is a member of the C/D class of snoRNAs, which contain the C (UGAUGA) and D (CUGA) box motifs. HBII-52 is encoded in a tandemly repeated array with another C/D snoRNA, HBII-85, in the Prader-Willi syndrome (PWS) region of chromosome 15. NCBI's taxonomy places the organism in Eukaryota, Metazoa, Chordata, Mammalia, Primates, Cebidae. The record is from Ensembl.
GGGUCAGUGAUGAGAACCUUUUCCUAUUGUCCUGAAGAGAGGUGAUGACUUUAAAAUCAUGCUCAAUAGGAUUACGCUGAGACCC